GCUGGGCGCGGAGGCAUGUGCCUGUAAUCCCAGCUACUUGGUAGGCUGAGGCUGGAGGACCACUUGAGCCCAGGAGUUCUGUGCUGUAGUGCACUAUGCCAAUCAGGUGUCCGCACUAAGUUCAGGAUCAAUAUGGUGACCUCCUGGGAGCAAGGAACCACCAGGUUGCCUAAGGAGGGGUGAACUGGCCGAGGUCGGAAAUGGAGUGAGUCAAAAUUCCCAUGCUGAUCAGUAAUGGGAUCGUGUCUGUGAAGAGCCACUGCACUCCAGCCUGGACAACACAUAAAAAAAU
Molecule: unclassified non-coding RNA, 292 nt
Organism: Callithrix jacchus (white-tufted-ear marmoset)
Lineage: Eukaryota; Metazoa; Chordata; Mammalia; Primates; Cebidae
Rfam family: Metazoan signal recognition particle RNA
About the family: The signal recognition particle (SRP) is a universally conserved ribonucleoprotein. It is involved in the co-translational targeting of proteins to membranes.
Source: Ensembl